Molecule: ribosomal RNA, 752 nt
Filed under: uncultured bacterium
Lineage: Bacteria
Description: bacterial SSU rRNA
Rfam family: Bacterial small subunit ribosomal RNA
Source: RNAcentral
GAACGCUGGCGGCAGGCUUAACACAUGCAAGUCGAGCGGAAACGAAGGUAGCUUGCUACCAGACGUCGAGCGGCGGACGGGUGAGUAAUGCUUAGGAAUCUACCGAGUAGUGGGGGAUAGCCAUUGGAAACGAUGAUUAAUACCGCAUAUAUCCUACGGGGGAAAGCAGGGGACCUUCGGGCCUUGUGCUAUUCGAUGAGCCUGAGUGAGAUUAGCUAGUUGGUGGGGUAAAGGCCUACCAAGGCGACGAUCUCUAGCUGGUCUGAGAGGAUGAUCAGCCACACUGGGACUGAGACACAGCCCAGACUCCUACGGGAGGCAGCAGUGGGGAAUAUUGCACAAUGGACGAAAGUCUGAUGCAGCCAUGCUGCGUGUGUGAAGAAGGCCUUCGGGUUGUAAAGCACUUUCAGCGAGGAGGAAAGGUCAGUAAGUAAUAUUUGCUGGCUGUGACGUUACUCGCAGAAGAAGCACCGGCUAAUUUAGUGCCAGCAGCCGCGGUAAUACUAAAGGUGCAAGCGUUAAUCGGAAUUACUGGGCGUAAAGCGCGCGUAGGUGGUUUGUUAAGUUGGAUGUGAAAGCCCAGGGCUCAACCUUGGAACUGCAUUCAAAACUGACUCACUAGAGUACGAGAGAGGUUAGUGGAAUUUCCUGUGUAGCGGUGAAAUGCGUAGAGAUGGGAAGGAACACCAGUGGCGAAGCGACUGACUGGCUCGAUACUGACACUGAGGUGCGAAAGCGUGGGGAGCAAACGG